Long non-coding RNA from Tachysurus fulvidraco (yellow catfish), 1283 nucleotides. RefSeq lists it as uncharacterized. The record is from RefSeq and is a predicted model, not a curated record. The transcript is spliced from 2 exons. Lineage: Eukaryota; Metazoa; Chordata; Actinopteri; Siluriformes; Bagridae.
AAGGCAAUAUUUUAAAGUGAAUCUUAAAUUAGAACUCUUGAAACACAAUGCAAAAUGUAUUAAACAGUUUAAGGCGCUGAGGUAAAUGGAAAGAGCGCCUGCUAAGCUUGCUGUCUGCCGCAGGCGGUUGUUCAACAUAUUUCCCAUAAAAUUUAUUAUAUUUAUUUACAUUAAUGUAAUUUAAUAUAUAAGUGUAUUUUUCUUAUAAGUUUCUUAUAAACAAAAAGUUCUUAUAAACAAAAGUUCUUAUAAACAAAAGUCUAUUGAUGUUUGCUGUUCACUAAUCAACCACCACGGGCAUGGGCGUCGAAAGUAAAUAAAAAAGUGGGCGUGUCCUGUCCCACCCACAUAUAAUGGUCCCGACGCCCAUGGAUUUCAGGAAGCAGGAGCAUGGUCAAUGCUGUAAGUAAAACGCGGAAUGGAGUUUAAUUUAUUCGGGCAUUCCUCAAGCAGAAUGGAUUCGACUGGCAGUGCUCUGAAAAUGAGAGCCAUUGGAUCUGACAAGCAAAGUGAGCCAUUACCCAAAUCUGCAAAACGGAAAAAAGUGAACCUCAUUUGGACUCCCUGAAAUUUGCUUCGUUUUCCAUUUCAGUGUAAUAUGUAUAUUACAAAGUAACAAUUAGUGUCAUAUAUUUUCACCCAACCUUAAAAUAACUUGUGUGCAAGUUAAAAUACGGCCUUUAAAUUCUCACAUUUUAUGUUGGGCCAUAUAUUACUGUGUUACAUUGAUAUCUAAUGUAAGUCAAAAGCCAUUACUUUAAUACAUGCUAUAAGAAAAAAGGGGUCUGUGAACUGUGAACGUUGACACUACAAAACAAAACAAAGAGAAAAUGUCAAAGGAAAGGACUAAAACCACAUUUAAGUUUUACUUUAAAACAAUUUUUAUAAAUUCCAACAAAAUAAAUUCUAGCCUGCAACAUGUGGCUAUUUUUACUUAAAUAUCGAGGUUUCAAAAUGGAAACAGCAGUUAAAGCAUAUGAUUCUAUUGACCAACACUAUGAUAAGUGACUAUCUGUUGCACUGUACUGUAGGUCAUUCUCUUGGGAGGUCUUAUCCAGUUGACUUUUGUAUUUUUGAUGUAGCAAAUGUGUCAUGCAAAUGUAGCUUUGUAGUGUGUAUUAGCUUUUUUUUUUCUUGUGGAGUUUUGUAACAAGGAAGUGUUAUUAGGUUUAAUAAUUAUCUUUACUGUUUUGUAUAUUAGGAUGUAUGAUCAUGUUGCCUGUCUAUCUGGGUUGAUGCCUGUGUAUGUUUGUACUCAAGAAUAAAAAACACUUUAACUCUAA